This is a long non-coding RNA of Homo sapiens (human), 759 nucleotides long. Ensembl annotates it as long intergenic non-protein coding RNA 2268. Lineage: Eukaryota; Metazoa; Chordata; Mammalia; Primates; Hominidae. The record is from Ensembl.
ACCACACACACACACGCACGCACGCACACACACGCACGCACGCGCACACACACACGCGCACACACACGCACACGCCCGCGCACACACUCUCUCACACACACACAGAGAUUGGAGAGAGACAGGAGAGAGACAUGUUUUCAUCUAUCCUUUGUGGACUUCUGUUGUUUUUACUGCUGUGAAAUUUGACUUGCGAUAUCUGCUUGUAAAACAUCAUCAAAUCCAAAUUCAUUAUAUUCCACUUUUUCUAUUACAUGGUUUCUGCUUCACUGAUUCAUAUCUGUUUUACCUAUUCUGUAAGGGAGGAGAAGCUGCAAAGCAAUGAAGAGAAAAGCUGAAGUCAGUGAUUAGGAGUGUCUGUGUAAGUAAAAGCAACAGGCAAUUACUGAGUGUGGUGUGAGAGGCACGGAAAGAUUGGGAAUUCAGCAAGAAGAGGAAUUGAAGUCAAACCUCACCUACUUCCCAGAGUCUUCUGGAUUUUCUGUUAGAAGCUUCAGUAUCUGAGAUAUUCCUAUGCAUUCUACUGCUUUAAUCCCACCUAAGUAGAGAUGUCCACAACAGAGAGAAUGGAGCUGUCACAUCGUUUCAACUGCCCAGGUAGUUCCUACUGGAUGAAUGGGAUUGUCACCUUCACACCUGCUAGAGGCUUGGAGCAUGCAAGAGUUUUUUUAAAUGGCUUCACCUUUCUUAUGAAAAUGCAACCACUAGUACUCUUCCAAUAAAAGCUUUUCUCAAGUGUGAGUAUACACUUGGCAUGGAAUA